Hippocampus comes (tiger tail seahorse) is the source of this 546-nucleotide long non-coding RNA. RefSeq lists it as uncharacterized. The record is from RefSeq and is a predicted model, not a curated record. NCBI's taxonomy places the organism in Eukaryota, Metazoa, Chordata, Actinopteri, Syngnathiformes, Syngnathidae. The transcript has 3 exons.
CUGAUCUGAAUGUUUACAGACACAAAUGUGACACUGCUGUAAAUAAUCAAUUUCACAAAAUGGUAACGAUAGUGAGCCCCUGACCUUCAUAUCUUGCCAUUCUAUUCAUUGUAUAUAGAGUAUUCUGCUGCAGAAAAAGGCAUACAAACACAUCAGGCCCACAUGCAUCGGCGGAUGGCUGCAGAUUUCAUAAGGAGUCCACAUCAUGUUGAUUUACAAAACCUCAUUCAAGGCCAUUAGGAUAACUUUCCCCUCUGUGACAUCAGCUUUAAACCAAGAACAUGAGCCCUUGUCAGAGGUGUCCCGGGAACAGCAAGGAUCACAAAGACAAUGAGGUGGACAUCACAUGAUGAUGGGAGCGAUGUCACUGAGUCACAUGAUGAAGCGCAUCAUGCAUUCUCCCACUCUUGAGCGCCCGUGCUAAUAAUACACUCCAGCUGUCCUCCCGAAAGCCCCCAUGAGGAUGAAUGCUGCUAGACACAGCACGUCAAAUCAAAUAACUUUUGUGGUAGCGUCUGGUUACUGACAAAGGUGUGGCAGUGAAAA